CUCAGAGAUGGGGUUUCCCUUCGGGGCUGGUUCACAGGUGGUGCAUGGUUGUCGUCAGCUCGUGUCGUGAGAUGUUGGGUUAAGUCCCGCAACGAGCGCAACCCUCGUUCCAUGUUGCCAGCACGUAGUGGUGGGGACUCAUGGGAGACUGCCGGGGUCAACUCGGAGGAAGGUGGGGAUGACGUCAAAUCAUCAUGCCCCUUAUGUCUUGGGCUUCACGCAUGCUACAAUGGCCGGUACAAUGGGUUGCGAUACUGUGAGGUGGAGCUAAUCCCUAAAGGCCGGUCUCAGUUCGGAUUGGGGUCUGCAACUCGACCCCAUGAAGUCGGAGUCGCUAGUAACCGUAGAUCAGCAUGCUAC
Molecule: ribosomal RNA, 360 nt
Filed under: uncultured Arthrobacter sp.
Lineage: Bacteria; Bacillati; Actinomycetota; Actinomycetes; Micrococcales; Micrococcaceae
Description: bacterial SSU rRNA
Rfam family: Bacterial small subunit ribosomal RNA
Source: RNAcentral